UAAAAUGAAGCAACAAAGAAAAUGGAGAACUGGAGUUGAACAAAUGAAACUAACUACUUAUUUCUGUAGGCAAAAUUCUGAAAACCACAGAAAAUAUGUAGGAGCUGACUUCCAAUUUUCAAAGGAACUGAGUAUGAAGGUGUUUAAAGCUAUUUUUAUGUCACAGUUUAUGCUGCAAUUGGAACCUGUCACCUCAAGACUUUUGGAAAAUCUGUCCUUGCACUUCUGAAGACCCAUUUUUUGACUGAAAGAGUAUUACACAAAGAACGUGUGGAAGCCUUUUUCAUUCACCUUGAAAGCCAAACAGAACAAGUGAUGAGGAAUGCAUCAAGGGACAGAUGAAUUAAUCUCCAAUACCAUAUGUGUACAUGUGAAUACUUCAGUAUGUUCAAGAAAACAAGGCGCUCAUAACUACUGUACUGACUGGUCAGAAUCCUACCCACCGCUUGGACAGUCAAGCGAUUGUACCGCAGUGAGACAAACAGAACUGAAAAGCUGAUUCCUCAAUUUGCUGUCAGAGGUCUUACCAAGCUUACAGACCAACAUCCGGAUAUCAAGACUUCAAUCAUGGGCACGAAUAAUCUACAAAGGUGCUGUCUUCAAUCAAGAUGAUGCAACAACAGAUGCAUAAAUCUGGUUUUGAUUUUAAAGUAAUUUUGAAUCUCUAUGGCUUAUUUCAUACAUAAAUACUUAAAUCUAAUCCUUCUCCUAUGUGGCUUCUUGUAAAGAAUAACAGCGUUUGGAAAGACUAUGGAAUACAGCCCAUUUUCCAGCCAGUAGAAGAUCACUCCACUUCAGCACGCUAUGCUGGGCUUUGCUCAGAAUCACUUUAAAAGCUCCAAACAAUAUGAUUUAUACUUUUCCCUAAGUAGACCAUUCCACAGCCAAUUUUAUCACACUGUAAGGAUCUCAUGUGUGUGUAUGUGUAUCUUCAACGUACAUUUACUCUGUAUUUUACUCUACCUCAUUGCUUUUGUCCAUAUUUUCAGCUAAAUAAUUUGACUUGGCCCGGAAAAUUGCAACUAAACCAAGUCAAUGGAGCUACAACAAAUGAUAGAAAGAUCUUCUCCACGUGUUUAAGCCCUAAAUUUUUCACUAAUUUAAAGUCAUGCUAAAUUGCAUACAUUUAGCUUUUUAAAUUUCAGAAAUCAAUGCUCAGAGCCUUAAUAACACUAGCUAAACCCUUUCCAGUGCGGCAGUACCUUUAUUGUAGGGUGGUGUCCAGAAUCCCAGUACUGGCUCACCUUAGUGAUCUUUGCUUUUGCCACGAGAUGACUUUUAAUAAGCAGCCCAAAACUGCAUGAAGUCUUUUCAUAUCCAGACUGUUUCACAAAUUCACGUCCAUUUGGCGUACACUGACAUAACCUGAUGUCCCUUAGCGUUGUGUUUUCCCCAGAAUCAUUUUCAUGUAGAGAACAAAAUGUUUCAGGAUAGUUUCUCAGUUCUCAGGUUUUGUUUGUGUGUUUUAUAAAAGGAUAGCCUUGUAUUGCUAAUUCUUUCCCAGCUUUCCUUUCUACCUUGACAUCUUUUUUCAUGUCAUUGUCACGACUGAGCUUCAGACUCAUAGCAAUUUGGGGGCUGUUAAUUUACUGAGUGGCUAAAUCCUUUUUCCAAGACAGUGACAAAGACAACAAGCGUAACAGGUCCUGACACUAGCAUUUAGUACCACUACGGUAGGAUUUCACUUGCCAUUCUAAAUACAUAUUUAACACAGUUUCAUUUCUCAUUCUCAUCAUUUACUCUUUUACCUAGGCUUCAUCCUGCCUAUAUUUUUAUCUGAAUAAAGUGGAAUUAACUUUUUGCAUACUACAUCAUGAAGUAGUUCCCAAAUGAAGUAUCAAAGCUGAGUAUAUCCAGCACAUUGCUUACAGCCAUUAUGUAAAAAAGCAUUGUUUUACAGCUUGUCCCCAUCUCUGGCACCCCCAAAAAAGCUUGCGCUCCAGUGAUUUAGCUCAAUGCAAGGCUGCACACAGAGUAAUGGUGAAAAAUGGGAGAAAUUGAGAAAUGGCUGCAGAAGGAGAGGACAAGACAAACCCUUUCAGCAUGAGCAUGGAUCAUGUAGUUAUAGGGCUACAGCUCCUACUGAAAUAAAUUUAAAAAAAGAAAUCCAAAAGAUUACUUUCUUCAUUUGUUUUUACACUACAUAUAAAGUAUUUCAGUGGUUAAAGGAUUUACUAUGGUGAAGAAGUAACAUGAGAAUUGUCACACUGAAUCAGGCUAAUGGCCCUUUUAGAGCACUAUGUCUACAUGGCAUUGAUAUAAAAUUGAGUCUAAACUUGGAGCCUUAUUUAGGAGAAAAAAAAAAAAAAGUAGUAAAACCUGCUUAUAUGUCUUCAUUCAGACUGACUACAGAUAAAAUUAACCUCUUAGCCAAGCUGCGCUCUCACUCCCACACAGACCUUCUCCCUUAUAUUUACAAUGACAUAAAUACCUUAGUGGCAACUCUAUAAAAAACAUU
This is a long non-coding RNA of Grus americana (Whooping crane), 2458 nucleotides long. RefSeq lists it as uncharacterized. The transcript is spliced from 4 exons. Lineage: Eukaryota; Metazoa; Chordata; Aves; Gruiformes; Gruidae. The record is from RefSeq and is a predicted model, not a curated record.